UUCAACGCCAUCGUCUGUUGACAGGCAGGUUUGAGAAACGCCAGCCAAAGCCCGCCGGGAGAAACAGACGUCUGAGCAUAGAACAGUAUCGGCUUCCUGUGUUGUCCAGGCCAUCAGAGCUAAUUACCCAGCACAAGAUGGGCAGUACCGUGGCUACCAGGAGACAGUAGAUGCCCAAGAUGAGCUGUCACUAUUUUGACUCUAGCAAACGCACACUACAUGUUUUAUUUUUGUAAAUAGUUCAUAUGUUUUCAUGAAUAAAACUUCGAAUUCA
Molecule: long non-coding RNA, 274 nt
Organism: Gadus morhua (Atlantic cod)
Lineage: Eukaryota; Metazoa; Chordata; Actinopteri; Gadiformes; Gadidae
Exons: 2
Source: RefSeq, a predicted model, not a curated record